Molecule: non-coding RNA, 2004 nt
Organism: Monodelphis domestica (gray short-tailed opossum)
Lineage: Eukaryota; Metazoa; Chordata; Mammalia; Didelphimorphia; Didelphidae
Source: RefSeq, a predicted model, not a curated record
GAUACAUAAAAACUUUCAAAAUCCUUCUACUACAUAAUUUGGAAGUCUAUGCAUGCUAUCUUCUUUCCUGGGACAUUUCCCAGUUCCAUCAAAAACAUAACAGCUGCAAUGAAUAGUAAGAUCAUUCCUAAGGGCCUUCCUCUAACCUCUGUCCUAUCAUAUCAAGUGUUAGGAACAAGAAGACUCAUUCUAAAGACCCAAUGGUCACAUGAGAGCAAUAGGAUCUAUACUAGGUUCUAAAGCCUCCGAUUUUUCUGAGUCCAGGCAAUCAAGAAAAGGGAAGCUGACUUGAGCCUAAGAAGACAUAGACAUCCAAACCGUUGAGCUGAACUCAAAAGAAGAAGCCUGGCCACUACCCUGGUCUGGUCUCCUUGAACAAGGAGGACACAAAGUAUGGCAGCAAGAUACCUGAGCUAGUUUCUACAGAAACAAAUGCAAUGGAAUUCAAGAGGGAGAAAAAGCUAGGAUCAAAUAGGGUAAAAAUAAAAGGAAAAGAAAGAUCAGGCAGACAGAGUUUGGUGCCCUCAAUAUAUCCCACUAGUAAGAGAAAUCUUGCUUAAAACAUUACUAAAGAAUACCCAUAGCAAGACAGCAUUUAGAAAGAGUAGCUUUAAGCUUGGGAAAGACAACAGGCCAAAGGGUAAGCCAGGGACAUGGCCCAGAGUUGACUCAUAUUAAACAUUCUCAGGCAAAUAUAGGCUGACCACAGUAUAGUACCUUGGGGCUCCUUAUACUCUUCAGGCAAGGAUAACAAUAAGGCUUGCAAUUCUCCUGGGACUCCAAUGGCACACACUCUUCAAGGAAUAAGUCCUAAGAAUAGUUCAAGGAGGAGAGGGUACAACAAGACCCUUCACUCUAGGAACACAGACCUCAUCAUGAAAAUGGGAACUUCUUUGGCUUUUCCUUUCUGCUUUACACAUAAAGCAAUAAUAGAGAUAAAAAGGAGCCAGGCUUCUCAAAUAAAAGGAAUAAUGAGUGGAAUUCACACAAAGUACUUGAGAAGGACUUUCUCCAAUUCCAAAGGUCAUCUGUCACUGUUUCUGAAGGAUUGCUUAUCCUCCUGAGUCAUUGCUAUAGCACACAUCUUUCCAUAAGAGAGGACUAGCUCAGAAGAAAAAGUGUGAGAAGCAAAAUUCAGUUCCCUCCCACAGAAUGAGGCUCCUUUAAUUUGGGGUUCUUUUGCUCAAGUGCCUGAUGGGUGCACAAGAAAAAAAUGCCUUGAGAGAAGACACAGCUAUACAAAGAGCUCAGGAAACCAAGAAACUGCUGCCUACUCUCAACUGGAUUCCAGACCCAUAGCUGGAAAUCCCUAUACUGUAGGAUCCCUUUCCCAGAGACUUACCCAGCUGGGUAUGCAACCAGACCUGACCGGGGGUCACAAGCCAGUCCUCUGCCUCCAGAUACUGUUAUUCCCAGCACCUUCUCCAAGGUUACCUGAUCAAGGAAAUAACAAUGAUGAGACAAAAAGAAAAGGGCACAAAUACUCUUCCCCAUAGUCCUGAAAUGUGUAGCUAAGAAGAAGAAACCAGCCUGAAGAGCAAAUGCAGUGAAUAGCAUGGAGGACCAUGGAGAACAGACACAGCAGCAGAAAAGUGCUUUUUAAAAUUCUAGCAACAGUAUCACAGUCAGAGACUCAACAAUGAGAAAUUAGCUGCUUUAUGCCCAACAAGGGUCUCCUUACAUCCAGGCCUCAAACCCAAUGCUCUGGAGAACAAAGCAGUACAGCCAAUGCUUUUGUAGGUGCACUGUGUUGUGAUGGGGGAAAGUCUACCCUCACAUUAAAACCAGUGUCAUCUUUCCCUUCACAUUAUAGCUUCCAGACAGCAAAAUUACAAGUAUAAGAUGGUGAUGCACUUGUUUAUUUGGGUGUGUUUUGGGGGUUUGGUUUUAUAAGAUUAUUCACAUGCAAAAAUGAACAAUAUGUAAAUGUUUUGCAUGAUAAUACAUGCAUAACUCAAGAAAACAAAUAAAUAACAGUGAUGCCAAUAUCCCUCACACAAUAUA